CAGGCCUAACACAUGCAAGUCGAGCGGUAAGGCCCUUCGGGGUACACGAGCGGCGAACGGGUGAGUAACACGUGGGUGACCUGCCCUCCACUUCGGGAUAAGCCUGGGAAACCGGGUCUAAUACCGGAUAGGACCUUCUGGUGCAUGCUAGUGGGUGGAAAGUUUUUCGGUGGGGGAUGGGCCCGCGGUCUAUCAGCUUGUUGGUGGGGUGAUGGCCUACCAAGGCGACGACGGAUAGCCGGCCUGAGAGGGCGACCGGCCACACUGGGACUGAGAUACGGCCCAGACUCCUACGGGAGGCAGCAGUGGGGAAUAUUGCACAAUGGGCGCAAGCCUGAUGCAGCAACGCCGCGUGCGGGAUGACGGCCUUCGGGUUGUAAAGCUCUUUCACCGGUGAAGAUAAUGACGGUAACCGGAGAAGAAGCCCCGGCUAACUUCGUGCCAGCAGCCGCGGUAAU
RNAcentral lists this ribosomal RNA (458 nucleotides) under uncultured bacterium. RNAcentral describes it as "bacterial SSU rRNA". It matches the Rfam family "Bacterial small subunit ribosomal RNA", at positions 43 to 524 of the family's 1533-position model. The record is from RNAcentral.